This 476-nucleotide ribosomal RNA is filed under the name uncultured bacterium. RNAcentral describes it as "bacterial SSU rRNA". It matches the Rfam family "Bacterial small subunit ribosomal RNA", at positions 29 to 507 of the family's 1533-position model. The record is from RNAcentral.
AUUAAACGCUGGCGGCAUGCCUUACACAUGCAAGUCGAACGGCAGCACGGGGCAACCUGGUGGCGAGUGGCGAACGGGUGAGUAAUGCAUGAGAAUCUGCCCUUUGGAGGGGGACAACAGCUGGAAACGGCUGCUAAUACCCCGUAAGCCGGGAGGUGAAAGGUACGCGAGUACUGCCGGGGGAUGAGCUCAUGUCCUAUCAGCUGGUUGGCGGGGUAACGGCCCACCAAGGCGACGACGGGUAGCCGGCCUGAGAGGGUGACCGGCCACACUGGAACUGAGACACGGUCCAGACUCCUACGGGAGGCAGCAGUGGGGAAUUUUGGACAAUGGGGGCAACCCUGAUCCAGCCAUGCCGCGUGAGUGAAGAAGGCCUUCGGGUUGUAAGCUCUGUCAGAGGGAAAGAAAGGGUACGGCGGAAUAAUAACCCGCCGACAUUGACGGUACCCUCGGAGGAAGCACCGGCUAACUCCGUG